Molecule: long non-coding RNA, 460 nt
Organism: Leptopilina heterotoma
Lineage: Eukaryota; Metazoa; Arthropoda; Insecta; Hymenoptera; Figitidae
Exons: 2
Source: RefSeq, a predicted model, not a curated record
GAAAAUUAUGUACUUUUGUUUAAUUUUUCAGUAUAUAAACCACGAUACUAAUGGUGAUAAUCAUCAGUUGAAUUUUAUUGAAAAUGCACUUCACAUUGUUUGCACUUUUAGCUCUUUUGAGCGUCCUUUUGAUGACAGGAGUUGCUGAUGCACAAAUCUGUCGAAAUUCGGGUCAGAGUUGUCAAAGAAACAGGCAAUGUUGCAGCGAAGUCUGCCAAUCAAGAUCAAAAACUUGCAAGUAAUUGACGCCAGGUGAUGAAAGUAUUCGUGGAUUGUACUUAUAUGAAGACUAUUGCAUAUUUCGAAUGAUAAAUAAACCUGGAUGACUAUCUUUUUUUUUCCAAAAUACUAAAAUGUUACUUGAUUUUUCUUGAUUUCUUUUUUAAAUUUUAAUCUACUCUUAUAUAUGUAUGUACUUAACUAUCUACCCUAAUAAAAAUGUUUAAGGCGUUAUAAAAAA